This 73-nucleotide transfer RNA is filed under the name Scleropages formosus (Asian bonytongue). It matches the Rfam family "tRNA". Rfam says of the family: Transfer RNA (tRNA) molecules are approximately 80 nucleotides in length. Their secondary structure includes four short double-helical elements and three loops (D, anti-codon, and T loops). The record is from Rfam by way of RNAcentral. Lineage: Eukaryota; Metazoa; Chordata; Actinopteri; Osteoglossiformes; Osteoglossidae.
CAGCUGGUAGCGUAGUGGUUAGCGCUACUGCUUUUGGAUCUGCUGGUUGCGGGUUUGACCCCCCUCCAGCUGU